GAUGAACGCUGGCGGCGUGCUUAACACAUGCAAGUCGAACGGAAACUUGAUGAAACCUAGUGAUUUAAGUUUUAGUGGCGGACGGGUGAGUAACGCGUGGAGAACCUGCCCUGUACUGGGGGAUAACAGUGAGAAAUCACUGCUAAUACCGCAUAAGCGCACGGAGCCGCAUGGCCCAGUGUAGAAAAACUCCGGUGGUACAGGAUGGCUCCGCGUUGGAUUAGCCAGUUGGCGGGGUAACGGCCCACCAAAGCGACGAUCCAUAGCCGGCCUGAGAGGGUGAACGGCCACAUUGGGACUGAGACACGGCCCAGACUCC
Molecule: ribosomal RNA, 319 nt
Filed under: uncultured Coprococcus sp.
Lineage: Bacteria; Bacillati; Bacillota; Clostridia; Lachnospirales; Lachnospiraceae
Description: bacterial SSU rRNA
Rfam family: Bacterial small subunit ribosomal RNA
Source: RNAcentral